GAACUCAGUAUAUAGACCAGGCUGGCCUCAAACUCACAGAGAACUGCCUGCCUCUGCCUCCUGAGUGCUAGGAU
RNAcentral lists this microRNA precursor (74 nucleotides) under Mus caroli (Ryukyu mouse). RNAcentral's name for it is "miRNA (MGP_CAROLIEiJ_G0007417.1)". Lineage: Eukaryota; Metazoa; Chordata; Mammalia; Rodentia; Muridae. The record is from RNAcentral.